UUUAACUUGGGAGUCAGAACAUGGGUGAUAAGGUCCGUGUUCGAAAGGGAAACAGCCCAGACCACCAGCUAAGGUCCCAAAAUAUAUGUUAAGUGGAAAAGGAUGUGGCGUUGCCCAGACAACUAGGAUGUUGGCUUAGAAGCAGCCAUCAUUUAAAGAGUGCGUAAUAGCUCACUAGUCGAGUGACACUGCGCCGAAAAUGUACCGGGGCUAAACAUAUUACCGAAGCUGUGGAUUGUCCUUUGGACAAUGGUAGGAGAGCGUUCUAAGGGCGUUGAAGCAUGAUCGUAAGGACAUGUGGAGCGCUUAGAAGUGAGAAUGCCGGUGUGAGUAGCGAAAGACGGGUGAGAAUCCCGUCCACCGAUUGACUAAGGUUUCCAGAGGAAGGCUCGUCCGCUCUGGGUUAGUCGGGUCCUAAGCUGAGGCCGACAGGCGUAGGCGAUGGAUAACAGGUUGAUAUUCCUGUACCACCUAUAAUCGUUUUAAUCGAUGGGGGGACGCAGUAGGAUAGGCGAAGCGUGCGAUUGGAUUGCACGUCUAAGCAGUAAGGCUGAGUAUUAGGCAAAUCCGGUACUCGUUAAGGCUGAGCUGUGAUGGGGAGAAGACAUUGAGUCUUCGAGUCGUUGAUUUCACACUGCCGAGAAAAGCCUCUAGAUAGAAAAUAGGUGCCCGUACCGCAAACCGACACAGGUAGUCAAGAUGAGAAUUCUAAGGUGAGCGAGCGAACUCUCGUUAAGGAACUCGGCAAAAUGACCCCGUAACUUCGGGAGAAGGGGUGCUCUUUAGGGUUAACGCCCAGAAGAGCCGCAGUGAAUAGGCCCAAGCGACUGUUUAUCAAAAACACAGGUCUCUGCUAAACCGUAAGGUGAUGUAUAGGGGCUGACGCCUGCCCGGUGCUGGAAGGUUAAGAGGAGUGGUUAGCUUCUGCGAAGCUACGAAUCGAAGCCCCAGUAAACGGCGGCCGUAACUAUAACGGUCCUAAGGUAGCGAAAUUCCUUGUCGGGUAAGUUCCGACCCGCACGAAAGGCGUAACGAUUUGGGCACUGUCUCAACGAGAGACUCGGUGAAAUCAUAGUACCUGUGAAGAUGCAGGUUACCCGCGACAGGACGGAAAGACCCCGUGGAGCUUUACUGUAGCCUGAUAUUGAAAUUCGGCACAGCUUGUACAGGAUAGGUAGGAGCCUUUGAAACGUGAGCGCUAGCUUACGUGGAGGCGCUGGUGGGAUACUACCCUAGCUGUGUUGGCUUUCUAACCCGCACCACUUAUCGUGGUGGGAGACAGUGUCAGGCGGGCAGUUUGACUGGGGCGGUCGCCUCCUAAAAGGUAACGGAGGCGCUCAAAGGUUCCCUCAGAAUGGUUGGAAAUCAUUCAUAGAGUGUAAAGGCAUAAGGGAGCUUGACUGCGAGACCUACAAGUCGAGCAGGGUCGAAAGACGGACUUAGUGAUCCGGUGGUUCCGCAUGGAAGGGCCAUCGCUCAACGGAUAAAAGCUACCCCGGGGAUAACAGGCUUAUCUCCCCCAAGAGUUCACAUCGACGGGGAGGUUUGGCACCUCGAUGUCGGCUCAUCGCAUCCUGGGGCUGUAGUCGGUCCCAAGGGUUGGGCUGUUCGCCCAUUAAAGCGGUACGCGAGCUGGGUUCAGAACGUCGUGAGACAGUUCGGUCCCUAUCCGUCGUGGGCGUAGGAAAUUUGAGAGGAGCUGUCCUUAGUACGAGAGGACCGGGAUGGACAUACCUCUGGUGUACCAGUUGUCGUGCCAACGGCAUAGCUGGGUAGCUAUGUGUGGACGGGAUAAGUGCUGAAAGCAUCUAAGCAUGAAGCCCCCCUCAAGAUGAGAUUUCCCAACUUCGGUUAUAAGAUCCCUCAAAGAUGAUGAGGUUAAUAGGUUCGAGGUGGAAGCAUGGUGACAUGUGGAGCUGACGAAUACUAAUCGAUCGAAGACUUAAUCAA
RNAcentral lists this ribosomal RNA (1950 nucleotides) under Staphylococcus aureus T13125. RNAcentral describes it as "bacterial LSU rRNA". It matches the Rfam family "Bacterial large subunit ribosomal RNA", at positions 971 to 2925 of the family's 2925-position model. The record is from RNAcentral. Lineage: Bacteria; Bacillati; Bacillota; Bacilli; Caryophanales; Staphylococcaceae.